This is a long non-coding RNA of Corapipo altera (White-ruffed manakin), 290 nucleotides long. RefSeq lists it as uncharacterized. The record is from RefSeq and is a predicted model, not a curated record. NCBI's taxonomy places the organism in Eukaryota, Metazoa, Chordata, Aves, Passeriformes, Pipridae. The transcript is spliced from 3 exons.
CACCAUCUCACGAGGAGGUGAUGCUAGCAAAGAAUCUGGAUGUGUCUCAAGGGCUGGUGAACGGGGCACGAGGCGUUGUUGUAGGAUUUGAAAGUGAACAGAAGGAGGGACAGUCUGUUGCUAGAACCCAGUAUGACAACAUGGGAUUUUUUUUUAAAGAACUCUUUAUUGUGGUAAUUGUACUGCAAGAACAGAGCUCCUCUUCUCUUCGUUAGUCAGUAAAAUGAAGAAUCUGAAGGCUGAGCAGCUUUUUAUACAAGGCUGCCACAAAGCCAUCCUCAAAAUGCCUA